GAUGAACGCUGGCGGCGUGCCUAAUACAUGCAAGUCGAGCGAACAGACGAGGAGCUUGCUCCUCUGACGUUAGCGGCGGACGGGUGAGUACCCCUGGAAAAACCUCCUUUAAAGCCGGGGUUAAUUCGGGUAACCCGGGGCUAAUACGGGGCAAUUUAUUAAACCCCAGGGUUCAAUGUUAAAAGAAGUUUUUGUUGUCCCUUUAGGAUGGAUCCGGACCCCUUUACCUAGUUGUUAAGUUAACGGCUUACCAAGGCAACGAUGCGUAGCCUCCCUGAGAGGGUGAUCGGCCACACUGGAACUGAGACACGGUCCAGAGUCCUACGGGAGGCAGCAGUAGGGAAUCUUCCGCAAUGGGCGAAAGCUGGACGGAGCAACGCCGCGUGAGUGAUGAAGGUCUUCGGAGCGUAAAACUCUGUUAUUAGGGAAGAACAAAUGUGUAAGUAACUAUGCACGUCUUGACGGUACCUAAUCAGAAAGCCACGGCUAACUACGUG
This 497-nucleotide ribosomal RNA is filed under the name uncultured bacterium. RNAcentral describes it as "partial 16S ribosomal RNA". It matches the Rfam family "Bacterial small subunit ribosomal RNA", at positions 28 to 507 of the family's 1533-position model. The record is from RNAcentral.